This 538-nucleotide long non-coding RNA is filed under the name Cercocebus atys (sooty mangabey). Its description in RNAcentral is "lncRNA (ENSCATG00000045734.1)". The record is from RNAcentral. Lineage: Eukaryota; Metazoa; Chordata; Mammalia; Primates; Cercopithecidae.
CUUUCCAAGAAGUUUCCUUUGACUUCACCUCAUCCCACCUUGACCAUAGGGUUGGUCAUCCACUCCUUUGCAUACCCACAGCACACUGUGCACGGUCCUUUGUAGCCCCCACCACACUGAUUUGUAAUACUCCAUUUUCCUGAUCUGUCUGUAGACACACUGGGAGGUUCUGGCCUGUGGAGGUGCCCGUCAAGGUUUGAGCGAGGGAGAUGACAAAGAAGUGAAUGCAGGAACCAUCACUGGCAACUCGAGCAAAGGCCCUCCAUUCAGUCCUUACGUCACUGAAUCUUCCCAGGGGCCCAGUGAACCAUGACUGAUGCUCACCCUCAUUUGCAGAAUUGUCUUGAGCAGAAGAUCCUGGGAACAUGGUGGCCACCUAGGGAUUUAGGGAAGCCACUCUAGCACUCUGGCAUUGAUUGUCCUGGCAGGAGACAGAUGACAUCAGUUACUGGAGUUCCCGGCUACAAUGGAGAUACGGCCAAGAUGUUUCUCCGUCACACACUCCACUACUUAGCUGCCCUCCCUGACAGUCAUUUCC